This 497-nucleotide ribosomal RNA is filed under the name uncultured bacterium. RNAcentral's name for it is "partial 16S ribosomal RNA". It matches the Rfam family "Bacterial small subunit ribosomal RNA", at positions 28 to 507 of the family's 1533-position model. The record is from RNAcentral.
GAUGAACGCUGGCGGCGUGCCUAAUACAUGCAAGUCGAGCGAACAGGCGAGGAGCUUGCUCCUCUGACGUUAGCGGCGGACGGGUGAGUAACACGUGGAUAACCUACCUAUAAGACUGGGAUAACUUCGGGAAACCGGAGCUAAUACCGGAUAAUAUAUUGAACCGCAUGGUUCAAUAGUGAAAGACGGUUUUGCUGUCACUUAUAGAUGGAUCCGCGCCGCAUUAGCUAGUUGGUAAGGUAACGGCUUACCAAGGCAACGAUGUGUAGCCGACCUGAGAGGGUGAUCGGCCACACUGGAACUGAGACACGGUCCAGACUCCUACGGGAGGCAGCAGUAGGGAAUCUUCCGCAAUGGGCGAAAGCUUGACGGAGCAACGCCGCGUGAGUGAUGAAGGUCUUCGGAUCGUAAAACUCUGUUAUUAGGGAAGAACAAAUGUGUAAGUAACUAUGCACGUCUUGACGGUACCUAAUCAGAAAGCCACGGCUAACUACGUG